CUAAAGGAAAGCACUGGAGAGGCAUAACCCUAUGGAAACGGGGUACGUCUCAAUAGUUUGUGACUUCCUCUCUAGCGUUUUGCUUUUCCUUAUCGGUUGAAGUAAGGUCAUUUGGAUAUUAUUUUGUUUGGCAUUAUUUAAACAUAUGUUGUUGUUUUUUAAAAUACCAGCACACCAUUCAUAUAGAUGCUUAGGCAAAACGUUAUUAUAAAUGUUAGGUAGCAAUUUUUGGGCCUCAUCAACACACACACACACACACACACAUCUAUGACGUCAUGUACAACAUACAUGACAUUUUAAUAUGUCCAGGAGGAGUUUGUCCUACUGUCCAUCAUAAUCGAUUACAUCAGACAACGGAAAGUCACAUGAGCAAUUCAACACAAAUAUGGAUGAAGAAAAGGGUUUCUCACAAACUCAUAAGCAGAAACUGAGACACACAUACACCCAAGGACAGAGGGCUGGCACAGACCUUUCAUAAACACUGAUAAGAAAAGGGUGCUUGGGUCUGCAUUUCAAGCAGAAACUGAGACACACACAUACCCAAGGACAGAGGGCUGAAAUAAACCUUUCAUAAACACUGAUUAAAUGGGAACAUCUACGCACACACCAAAUGUCCUGCUUAGCUGAACAUUUGGUAACAAAGAACUUUUGCUGCAAGACUCAGAAGGAUGACACCCAGCUCAUCAGGACCAAUCUGAGAAGACAACAACCUGUCCAGAACCAACCAAAGGACCAGAACUUCCAGACUCAACCUACUUUCUGUGCUGUAUAAAAUGUGAAUGCAUUCUGUUAUCUGGGCUUUUUCUGGAGGUUCAUUAUGAGCUGAAUGAACGAGUCCGUAUACGCUUGUACCAGAUAUCUUUACUCUUAAAUUAAACUGUCGCUUGUCAUACAAUUUA
Long non-coding RNA from Salvelinus fontinalis (brook trout), 899 nucleotides. RefSeq lists it as uncharacterized. The record is from RefSeq and is a predicted model, not a curated record. The transcript is spliced from 2 exons. Lineage: Eukaryota; Metazoa; Chordata; Actinopteri; Salmoniformes; Salmonidae.